AGCCGNNCGCACUNNNAUGCACCGUAGUUUACUACACCGUAUUCUGUGAGUUGCGAACGGGUGAGUAACGCGUAGGUAACCUGCCUGGUAGCGGGGGAUAACUAUUGGAAACGAUAGCUAAUACCGUAUAAGAACAUUUACUGCAUGGUAGAUGUUUAAAAGGUGCAAGAGCAUCACUACCAGAUGGACCUGCGUUGUAUUAGCUAGUUGGUGAGGUAACGGCUCACCAAGGCAACGAUACAUAGCCGACCUGAGAGGGUGAUCGGCCACACUGGGACUGAGACACGGCCCAGACUCCUACGGGAGGCAGCAGUAGGGAAUCUUCGGCAAUGGGGGGAACCCUGACCGAGCAACGCCGCGUGAGUGAAGAAGGUUUUCGGAUCGUAAAGCUCUGUUGUUAAGGAAGAACGUGUGUGAGAGUGGAAAGUUCACACAGUGACGGUACUUAACCAGAAAGGGACGGCUAACUACGUGCCA
This 477-nucleotide ribosomal RNA is filed under the name Streptococcus constellatus. Its description in RNAcentral is "bacterial SSU rRNA". It matches the Rfam family "Bacterial small subunit ribosomal RNA", at positions 60 to 510 of the family's 1533-position model. Lineage: Bacteria; Bacillati; Bacillota; Bacilli; Lactobacillales; Streptococcaceae. The record is from RNAcentral.